GGAAGUAAAAGCCGUAACAAGGUUUCCGUAGGUGAACCUGCGGAAGGAUCAUUAUUGUAUAACCGAGGUGCGAGGGCUGUCGCUGACCCGAAAGGUCGUGCACGCCCGAGUGCCCUCACACACAUCCAUCUCACCCCUAUGUGCACCACCGCGUGGGUCCCCCUUUGGCUUGUUCGGAGGGGGGCUUACGUUUUCACACAAACUUUGUAUGCAGUGUAGAAUGUACUUUUUGUUUUUGCGAUCACGCAAUCAAUACAACUUUCAACAACGGAUCUCUUGGCUCUC
RNAcentral lists this unclassified non-coding RNA (285 nucleotides) under plant metagenome. RNAcentral's name for it is "partial contains small subunit ribosomal RNA, internal transcribed spacer 1, and 5.8S ribosomal RNA". The stretch from base 1 to 54 matches the Rfam family "Eukaryotic small subunit ribosomal RNA", at positions 1778 to 1831 of the family's 1831-position model. The record is from RNAcentral.